This 1236-nucleotide long non-coding RNA is filed under the name Cricetulus griseus (Chinese hamster). Its description in RNAcentral is "lncRNA (ENSCGRG00015039342.1)". The record is from RNAcentral. Lineage: Eukaryota; Metazoa; Chordata; Mammalia; Rodentia; Cricetidae.
CUUACACACACACACACACACACACACACACACACACACACACACACACACACAUCGUCAUCUACUGAUUCAGGGUCUGGUCCAGCAGAAGGCUUCUUGUGGUUUCUCAAGUCACAGACAGAGGAACAAAUGGCAAAUACCACUUGGAGCAGGGCCCCCUCCUUUGGAAUGGCUUUCCUGUCCCCGAGUGGAGGAAAAUUGCAGCUCUCUCCAUGGUGAACGGAGAUGACAGAGAAUCACUGGGAAGUCUCAGGGACUGUCUGCCAUGCGCCCCUGGAAGGUGGAGACCAGUACAUCCUUGCAGUCCACUGGACAGUCAGCCUAAUGCAAUGAGUGAACCCCACAUCUCGGUCUCACCUAAGGCAAUCCACAAAUGGAGAGACUAGGAUGCUUCAUCUUUUCGUUUGUUUGAUGCUCAGUCUUGAUUGCUGACUCUAUGGGAUUAGAAUCACCAUAGAAACAGGUUUGAAGAUGGAUGGCAAAUCAUCUACUCCACCCUUAAUGGCCUGUGCUGUGGAAGAUACUGCUAACUCAGCACAGCCAUGCUUCCUACAACUCAUAAUGUCCAUCAAGGUCACAAAGCUGGUCCAGUAUCAUGUUGCCAGGAGUGGUCGUCACCAAAUCCCGGCUCUAGUGAUCUGUCCGAGGACUUGGCAGAAGAGCUAUCCUUGUCAUCAUAUUUCCAUAUUGAAGUCCAAAUGACUCUGCUAUUGAUUAUUAAAUAGCACCACGUGCUGUAUUUUAAAACAAAACUAAUGUAAAAACAAGGGAAGGAGUUGAUGUCUCUCUGGUGAGCUGGGUGACAUACACCUAUAAUCCCAGGCACAUGGGAAGAUAGGACAGAAAGAUUUUGGUUUCAAUGCCAGUGCAUGUUACAUAGUAAGACUCUGUCUUAAAGAGGAAGAAGAAGGAAGAGGAGGAAGAAGUAGAAGAAGAGGAGGAGGAGAAGGAGAAAAAAAACCCAAACAAGCAACAACAACCAAAACCAUGGUGGUCAGCCAGAUGGUUCAUCGGAUUAAAGUACUUGCCGUACAAGCUGAGUUUUAUUCCCAGAAUCUACAUUAGAAAGCCAGAUGUGGUGGCACACAUCUGUAAUCCCAACAUUUCUAUGAUAUAACUGGGAGGUGGGACAGGAGAAUCUCCUGAAGACUCAUGGGCUGGCUAGCCUGGAGCAAGCAAUAGCAGAGACAAGAGAGGCCCUUCCUCAGCAAGGGAGAAGGAGAGGAUCACUCCAGA